GACGAACGCUGGCGGCGUGCUUAACACAUGCAAGUCGAGCGGUAAGGCCCUUUCGGGGGUACACGAGCGGCGAACGGGUGAGUAACACGUGGGUGACCUGCCCUCAGCUCUGGGAUAAGCCUGGGAAACCGGGUCUAAUACCGGAUAUGACUCCAUGACGCAUGUUGUGGGGUGGAAAGCCUUGUGCGGCUGAGGAUGGGCCCGCGGCCUAUCAGCUUGUUGGUGGGGUGAUGGCCUACCAAGGCGACGACGGGUAGCCGGCCUGAGAGGGCGACCGGCCACACUGGGACUGAGACACGGCCCAGACUCCUACGGGAGGCAGCAGGUGGGGAAUCUUGCGCAAUGGGCGAAAGCCUGACGCAGCGACGCCGCGUGAGGGAUGACGGCCUCGG
This 392-nucleotide ribosomal RNA is filed under the name uncultured bacterium. RNAcentral describes it as "bacterial SSU rRNA". It matches the Rfam family "Bacterial small subunit ribosomal RNA", at positions 28 to 420 of the family's 1533-position model. The record is from RNAcentral.